GAGCACCAAUUAUGCUAAUAAAUUGGCACGUUAGCACGUUAUUGCAAUAUCCCAUAGUACAUACAUGUUAUUAAAACUUGAACUAAUGCAUUGUGAGUCUUAUAAAUUGCUUACAUACCUCACCGAUUUCCCACUGUCUGGAAAACGCUCGGUUUAGUUCCUGUCUCCGCCUCCCAAAAUGUCUAGUGUAAUCGGAUUGGUCAGAUGACUACUCAACUGUUAUUGGUCAGCUGGGUUCAGCGUGUGUUUGAAAGGUUACGCCCCUGACUACGCGUGGGUUGACACAGAUUCUGACUGAGAGUCACAGCCUCAGAGGCAACGUAAACAAGCGUUAUAUUUCUCUAUAAACGAUGGUGUCUGUACUGCCUUACCACUUCGAGCUCGAUCCAGAGAGUUCAGAAGGCCGUUACGAUAUAAACGAUCUCCGUCAAUGAAUGCGAUUGGAUUUAACUUUUUUAGGUGUCCUUAGCUCUGCCAGAAUGCUAAACGAAGACGAAAAUGUGUUGCAAAGACAUCCAAAAGGUUUUAAGGAGAAUGCAACAGGUUCCAGGGCCUCUUACCUGCGUGAUUCAUCAUCCAGAUACGCUUGGAGCUUCCUGAUCGGAAUGUUGGCUUCCGACGACCCCUGCACUGAAGAUGGCAUGCAAUCACGUCCUCCUUUGAAGGUCUCUCAAACUGUGAUGCCAGGUCCAUUGGAAUCGGG
Molecule: long non-coding RNA, 703 nt
Organism: Paramisgurnus dabryanus
Lineage: Eukaryota; Metazoa; Chordata; Actinopteri; Cypriniformes; Cobitidae
Source: RefSeq, a predicted model, not a curated record